UUGCUCCACCGGAAAAAGAAGAGUGGCGAACGGGCGAGUAACACGUGGGUAACCUGCCCAUCAGAAGGGGAUAACACUUGGAAACAGGUGCUAAUACCGUAUAACAAUCAAAACCGCAUGGUUUUGAUUUGAAAGGCGCUUUCGGGUGUCGCUGAUGGAUGGACCCGCGGUGCAUUAGCUAGUUGGUGAGGUAACGGCUCACCAAGGCCACGAUGCAUAGCCGACCUGAGAGGGUGAUCGGCCACAUUGGGACUGAGACACGGCCCAAACUCCUACGGGAGGCAGCAGUAGGGAAUCUUCGGCAAUGGACGAAAGUCUGACCGAGCAACGCCGCGUGAGUGAAGAAGGUUUUCGGAUCGUAAAACUCUGUUGUUAGAGAAGAACAAGGAUGAGAGUAACUGUUCAUCCCUUGACGGUAUCUAACCAGAAAGCCACGGCUAACUACGUGCCAGCAGCCGCGGUAAUACGUAGGUGGCAAGCGUUGUCCGGAUUUAUUGGGCGUAAAGCGAGCGCAGGCGGUUUCUUAAGUCUGAUGUGAAAGCCCCCGGCUCAACCGGGGAGGGUCAUUGGAAACUGGGAGACUUGAGUGCAGAAGAGGAGAGUGGAAUUCCAUGUGUAGCGGUGAAAUGCGUAGAUAUAUGGAGGAACACCAGUGGCGAAGGCGGCUCUCUGGU
Molecule: ribosomal RNA, 674 nt
Filed under: uncultured Bacilli bacterium
Lineage: Bacteria; Bacillati; Bacillota; Bacilli
Description: bacterial SSU rRNA
Rfam family: Bacterial small subunit ribosomal RNA
Source: RNAcentral